GAUGAACGCUGGCGGCGUGCCUAAUACAUGCAAGUCGAGCGAACAGACGAGGAGCUUGCUCCUCUGACGUUAGCGGCGGACGGGUGAGUAACACGUGGAUAACCUACCUAUAAGACUGGGAUAACUUCGGGAAACCGGAGCUAAUACCGGAUAACAUGUUGAACCGCAUGGUUCAACAGUGAAAGACGGUCUUGCUGUCACUUAUAGAUGGAUCCGCGCCGCAUUAGCUAGUUGGUAAGGUAACGGCUUACCAAGGCAACGAUGCGUAGCCGACCUGAGGGGGUGAUCGGCCACACUGGAACUGAGACACGGUCCAGACUCCUACGGGAGGCAGCAGUAGGGAAUCUUCCGCAAUGGGCGAAAGCCUGACGGAGCAACGCCGCGUGAGUGAAGAAGGUCUUCGGAUCGUAAAACUCUGUUAUUGGGGAAGAACAAAUGUGUAAGUAACUAUGCACGUCUUGACGGUACCUAAUCAGAAAGCCACGGCUAACUACGUG
This 497-nucleotide ribosomal RNA is filed under the name uncultured bacterium. RNAcentral describes it as "partial 16S ribosomal RNA". It matches the Rfam family "Bacterial small subunit ribosomal RNA", at positions 28 to 507 of the family's 1533-position model. The record is from RNAcentral.